Molecule: ribosomal RNA, 263 nt
Filed under: uncultured bacterium
Lineage: Bacteria
Description: partial 16S ribosomal RNA
Rfam family: Bacterial small subunit ribosomal RNA
Source: RNAcentral
UACGUAGGUGGCGAGCGUUGUCCGGAAUUACUGGGCGUAAAGGGCGCGUAGGCGGCCUGAUAAGUCAGAUGUGAAACCCCCAGGCUCAACUUGGGGCAUGCAUUUGAAACUGUUGGGCUCGAGUGUCGGAGAGGAAAGCGGAAUUCCUAGUGUAGCGGUGAAAUGCGUAGAUAUUAGGAGGAACACCAGUGGCGAAGGCGGCUUUCUGGACGAUAACUGACGCUGAGGCGCGAAAGCGUGGGGAGCAAACAGGAUUAGAUACC